Molecule: ribosomal RNA, 442 nt
Filed under: uncultured bacterium
Lineage: Bacteria
Description: partial 16S ribosomal RNA
Rfam family: Bacterial small subunit ribosomal RNA
Source: RNAcentral
CCUACGGGAGGCAGCAGUGGGGAAUAUUGGGCAAUGGGCGCAAGCCUGAUCCAGCAACGCCGCGUGAAGGAAGAAGGCUUUCGGGUUGUAAACUUCUUUUAAGAGGGAAGAGCAGAAGACGGUACCUCUUGAAUAAGCCACGGCUAACUACGUGCCAGCAGCCGGGCGAAUACGUAGGUGGCAAGCGUGGUCCGGCUUUACUGGGUGGAAAGGGCGUGUAGCCGGGGUGACAAGUCAGUUGUGAAAUUCCGGGGCUCAAUCCCCGGCCUGCCUUGGAAACUGUUGGACUUGAGUAUCGGAGAGGCAGGCGGAAUUCCGAGUGUAGCGGUGAAAUGCGUAGAUAUUAGGAGGAACACCAGUGGCGAAGGCGGCCUGCUGGACGACAACUGACGGUGAGGCGCGAAAGCGUGGGGAGCAAACAGGAUUAGAUACCCGGGUAGUC